ACGAGCGGCGAACGGGUGAGUAAUGCUUUGGAAUCUUCCCAGUAGUGGGGAAGUAACCAGUCGAAAGAUUGGCUAAUACCGCAUACGUCUGUAAAGGGAAAGCGGGGCUCGUAAGACCUCGCGCUAUUGGAUGAGCCAAAGUCGGAUUAGCUUGUUGGUGGGGUAAUGGCCUACCAAGGCGACAAUCCGUAGCUGGUCUGAGAGGACGACCAGCCACACCGGAACUGAGACACGGUCCGG
Molecule: ribosomal RNA, 240 nt
Filed under: uncultured bacterium
Lineage: Bacteria
Description: partial 16S ribosomal RNA
Rfam family: Bacterial small subunit ribosomal RNA
Source: RNAcentral